GACGAACGCUGGCGGCGUGCUUAACACAUGCAAGUCGAACGGAAAGGCUCCAGCUUGCUGGAGUACUCGAGUGGCGAACGGGUGAGUAACACGUGGGUAAUCUGCCCUGCACUCUGGGAUAAGCCUGGGAAACUGGGUCUAAUACUGGAUAUGACCUUUCUCCUUAUGGGGUUUGGUGGAAAGUUUUUCGGUGUAGGAUGAGCCCGCGGCCUAUCAGCUUGUUGGUGGGGUGAUGGCCUACCAAGGCGACGACGGGUAGCCGGCCUGAGAGGGUGAUCGGCCACAUUGGGACUGAGAUACGGCCCAGACUCCUACGGGAGGCAGCAGUGGGGAAUAUUGCACAAUGGGCGGAAGCCUGAUGCAGCGACGCCGCGUGAGGGAUGACGGCCUUCGGGUUGUAAACCUCUUUCAGCAGAGACGAAGCGUAAGUGACGGUACCUGCAGAAGAAGCACCGGCUAACAUGUG
This 466-nucleotide ribosomal RNA is filed under the name uncultured bacterium. RNAcentral describes it as "partial 16S ribosomal RNA". It matches the Rfam family "Bacterial small subunit ribosomal RNA", at positions 28 to 507 of the family's 1533-position model. The record is from RNAcentral.